UGCUAUACAUGCAAGUCGAGCGAAUGGAUUAAGAGCUUGCUCUUAUGAAGUUAGCGGCGGACGGGUGAGUAACACGUGGGUAACCUGCCCAUAAGACUGGGAUAACUCCGGGAAACCGGGGCUAAUACCGGAUAACAUUUUGAACCGCAUGGUUCGAAAUUGAAAGGCGGCUUCGGCUGUCACUUAUGGAUGGACCCGCGUCGCAUUAGCUAGUUGGUGAGGUAACGGCUCACCAAGGCAACGAUGCGUAGCCGACCUGAGAGGGUGAUCGGCCACACUGGGACUGAGACACGGCCCAGACUCCUACGGGAGGCAGCAGUAGGGAAUCUUCCGCAAUGGACGAAAGUCUGACGGAGCAACGCCGCGUGAGUGAUGAAGGCUUUCGGGUCGUAAAACUCUGUUGUUAGGGAAGAACAAGUGCUAGUUGAAUAAGCUGGCACCUUGACGGUACCUAACCAGAAAGCCACGGCUAACUACGUGCCAGCAGCCGCGGUAAUACGUAGGUGGCAAGCGUUAUCCGGAAUUAUUGGGCGUAAAGCGCGCGCAGGUGGUUUCUUAAGUCUGAUGUGAAAGCCCACGGCUCAACCGUGGAGGGUCAUUGGAAACUGGGAGACUUGAGUGCAGAAGAGGAAAGUGGAAUUCCAUGUGUAGCGGUGAAAUGCGUAGAGAUAUGGAGGAACACCAGUGGCGAAGGCGACUUUCUGGUCUGUAACUGACACUGAGGCGCGAAAGCGUGGGGAGCAAACAGGAUUAG
RNAcentral lists this ribosomal RNA (754 nucleotides) under Bacillus anthracis (anthrax bacterium). Its description in RNAcentral is "bacterial SSU rRNA". It matches the Rfam family "Bacterial small subunit ribosomal RNA", at positions 45 to 781 of the family's 1533-position model. Lineage: Bacteria; Bacillati; Bacillota; Bacilli; Caryophanales; Bacillaceae. The record is from RNAcentral.